RNAcentral lists this non-coding RNA (25 nucleotides) under Rattus norvegicus (Norway rat). The record is from RNAcentral. Lineage: Eukaryota; Metazoa; Chordata; Mammalia; Rodentia; Muridae.
UGUUCUCAUUGCUGUUGUGUUCUCU